Molecule: ribosomal RNA, 419 nt
Filed under: uncultured bacterium
Lineage: Bacteria
Description: bacterial SSU rRNA
Rfam family: Bacterial small subunit ribosomal RNA
Source: RNAcentral
GAAUAUUGGGCAAUGGAGGCAACUCUGACCCAGCCAUCCCGCGUGCAGGAUGAAGGUCCUCUGGAUUGUAAACUGCUUUUGUUAGGGAAGAAAACCUAUUAUUUAUAAUAGACUGACGGUACCUAACGAAUAAGCACCGGCUAACUCCGUGCCAGCAGCCGCGGUAAUACGGAGGGUGCAAGCGUUAUCCGGAUUUACUGGGUUUAAAGGGUGCGUAGGCGGCCUGAUAAGUCAGUGGUGAAAGCUCUCAGCUUAACUGGGAAACUGCCAUUGAAACUGUUAGGCUUGAGUACAAUUGAAGUGGGCGGAAUACAUCAUGUAGCGGUGAAAUGCUUAGAUAUGAUGUAGAACACCGAUUGCGAAGGCAGCUCACUAAAUUGCAACUGACGCUGAGGCACGAAAGCGUGGGUAGCGAACAG